Tyto alba (common barn owl) is the source of this 283-nucleotide long non-coding RNA. RefSeq lists it as uncharacterized. The transcript has 3 exons. NCBI's taxonomy places the organism in Eukaryota, Metazoa, Chordata, Aves, Strigiformes, Tytonidae. The record is from RefSeq and is a predicted model, not a curated record.
AUUUUCAAUACUUCGUAAGAAGAAUUUGUGCCUGGAGAAACAGAUGUAAUAAGUGACCAUACUGAUGUAAUCCCACUGCCUGGCCUUCAGUGGCAGUAGUGAAUGAAUAACUUCAAGAUGGGAGAAAACAAUUCCCCGCGAUUUCCAUAAUCAGUGAAGAUGCCUCAGACCUUUUAAAGAGAUGACUUUUCAUUGCUGCUUGAGUUGUCUGCAGUUCGUCGAUACUUGGGGACGGAGCCCACUGAGAAUGAUGGUCCAGGUCCUGCCAAAAUCCCUCCCUAUU